RNAcentral lists this ribosomal RNA (499 nucleotides) under uncultured bacterium. RNAcentral describes it as "bacterial SSU rRNA". It matches the Rfam family "Bacterial small subunit ribosomal RNA", at positions 29 to 526 of the family's 1533-position model. The record is from RNAcentral.
AAUAAACGCUGGCGGCGUGCCUAACACAUGCAAGUCGAGCGAGAAAGCUCCUUCGGGAGUUAGUAAAGCGGCGAACGGGUGAGCAACACGUGAGAAUCUACCCUUUAGUGAAGAAUACCCUCGAGAAAUCGAGGCUAAUACUGCAUACGUCCCUUCGGGAGAAAGAUGGCCUCUUUGCUAUCGCUAAAGGAUGAGCUUGCGUACUAUUAGCUAGUUGGCGGGGUAAAGGCCCACCAAGGCAAUGAUGGUUAACCGGCCUGAGAGGGUGUACGGUCACACUGGAACUUAGACACGGUCCAGACUCCUACGGGAGGCAGCAGUGAGGAAUCUUGCGCAAUGGGCGAAAGCCUGACGCAGCGACGCCGCGUGGAGGAUGACGGUUUUCGGAUUGUAAACUCCUGUUAAGCGGGAAGAAAGCCUUGUUUCUAAUACAAGCAAGGUAUGACGGUACCGCUAGAGAAAGCACCGGCUAACUUCGUGCCAGCAGCCGCGGUAAAGU